This 117-nucleotide small nucleolar RNA is filed under the name Castor canadensis (American beaver). RNAcentral's name for it is "Small nucleolar RNA SNORA63 (ENSCCNG00000014621.1)". The record is from RNAcentral. Lineage: Eukaryota; Metazoa; Chordata; Mammalia; Rodentia; Castoridae.
AUACUGAAGCAAUAUGCAAGCAGCUGUGCUGUCAUUCCCUCUGAUCAAAAUAAGGUCAUUUCUUAACUAUACCUGCUUGUUAUUCCCCUGCAGCCAGGGAUGUUUGUUCUCACACAU